AAACAGGUCACUGUCACCAGUGUGAUCCAGGGCCUGGCCCAGCCCUGGGCCCAGCCUGUCUUGAGUAACCCUGUCAGAGGCCAAGCUCCCUGUUUUGCUUGCGCAAUAGCCACUCCGGGGGCCAGAGGCCUGGCCUCAAGAGAACUUGAUGGGGGAAGCCUUGCGCCCAGAGGCUUUGCCCCUCACUGAGGGCACAAUCAAGCCCUCCAACCAGGCCCCUCCUCUACCAGGAGCCAGGGGAGAAGGAACCAGAGAUUACAUGGUGAGCAAGGAGGACAGCUGAGCUGGCAGGUGGGUGGCCUGGCCAUGCGGAGGGGAAAGCCAGGGAGGGAGGACGGCUGAGGUCUGCGAGAAAAAGGCAGAAGAGCAAAUGCUGCGAAUCUCUGGAAAGCGGUGGGCAGCAAGAAGAAGUGACAGCAAUAACAAAGACUCAGGAGUGGAGGUGAGCCAAGGUUGGUCAAGACACCACGAGAAGCCUACACCAGCUGUGGAAAAGGUUUCUGGGAAAGCGGUCUGGCCCCCGUGUCACGGUUUGCCCAUCUCAAGGGAAGCAAGGGAAUUAACAGACUAGGCCUUGUCUGUUGCUCCUCACCAUGUGGCCCCACUCUCUGUGUGCCCCUGCGUGCACUCCUCAUUGCACUAACGGAGAAAAGCAAGUCAUGUCUACACAUCACCUGCUAUAGAGAAGACAGAAACGUGCCUCCUGGGAUCUCAAGGGAGGUGAAAGAGUUAUGGCUGGUGGUCCCUGAGGAACCACCAUUUCUGAGGAACUACAACAACGUGAGUCACAAUACGUCCCUCUCUGGUGAGGGUCUCGACUGCCAGGAGCAAGCCUCCCCCUGUGGCCCACACCCCAGCUCCAAGGCAGCAAAGUCUGCUCAGGGCUCAGAACCAUUCAGACAACUGAGAAAUCCCACCAUCAAACAAAGGGAUGAAGCAGCAUGGGUGACAGCUGGACGUGUCGGAGCGUUACAUGUGAUGGAGGAUAAAGAUGACAACACAGCUAUUUUGACUGCUCUCUGUCUUUUGUGUCCUGAAAUUUCCAAUUCAUUGUGAUUAAAAUAAUUAAAGUUCUUCC
Molecule: long non-coding RNA, 1078 nt
Filed under: Equus caballus (horse)
Lineage: Eukaryota; Metazoa; Chordata; Mammalia; Perissodactyla; Equidae
Description: lncRNA (ENSECAG00000060215.1)
Source: RNAcentral